RNAcentral lists this transfer RNA (90 nucleotides) under Lachnospiraceae bacterium oral taxon 096. RNAcentral describes it as "tRNA-Ser". It matches the Rfam family "tRNA". From Rfam's summary of the family: Transfer RNA (tRNA) molecules are approximately 80 nucleotides in length. Their secondary structure includes four short double-helical elements and three loops (D, anti-codon, and T loops). Further hydrogen bonds mediate the characteristic L-shaped molecular structure. tRNAs have two regions of fundamental functional importance: the anti-codon, which is responsible for specific mRNA codon recognition, and the 3' end, to which the tRNAs corresponding amino acid is attached (by aminoacyl-tRNA synthetases). tRNAs cope with the degeneracy of the genetic code in two manners: having more than one tRNA (with a specific anti-codon) for a particular amino acid; and 'wobble' base-pairing, i.e. permitting non-standard base-pairing at the 3rd anti-codon position. The record is from RNAcentral. Lineage: Bacteria; Bacillati; Bacillota; Clostridia; Lachnospirales; Lachnospiraceae. RNAcentral also lists the same sequence under 2 other names.
GGAAAUGUAUCGAAGAGGCCAUAACGAGGCGCACUCGAAAUGCGUUUGUCCUUUUAUAGGGGCACAUGGGUUCGAAUCCCAUCAUUUCCG